GCCCCCGUGGGGCCGCCUCUAUCACUGGCAGAGCCCCGACAUUCACCAGGUCCGGAUUCCCUGGUCCGACUUUUUUGACCUUCCGAGUCUCAAUAGAAACAUCCCGGUCAUUGAGUAUGAACAGUUCAUUGCAGAGUCCGGCGGGCCCUUCAUCGACCAGGUUUAUGUCCUGCAAAGUUACGCGGAAGGGUGGAAAGAGGGGACCUGGGAAGAGAAGGUCGACGAGCGGCCGUGCAUCGACCCGCUGCUGUACGCCCCGGACAAGCACGAAUACUACAGGAUCGGCUUCCAUCAUGGCGCCUGUGCUUCUGAGAAACACGUCAGCGAGGUAAGCGCCCGUCGGGUCGGCUCCGUGACCGGCCAGUGAAGGAGCGUGUGUGUGUACACGUGUGUGCACGCUGUGCUGCGGGCGUUGGAACCCCUCCUGGCUGUGGCCUGCGGUGGGGGGCACUGGAGAGGUAGACCUCGUCCCCACCCCACAGCCGGUGCACAGCGAGGCGGGGCUGGGAGAGAGGAGGAGGCCGCCUGUUGCUGGGGAGAGCCAGUGGGGACCAGGGACAGACAGAGGAGGAGCCUGCCUGCCUGUGUCCCGGGAGAGCCCGGGGAGGGCAGCCGUGCCCAUGCUCGGGUAUCUGCGCGGCGAGUGUGGCUUCCCGGUGCUGCUCAGCCCUUCGCGGCGGGACCUCAUCGGCCUGGGCCUCUCGGCCGGCUGCUGGUAGGCGGAGGAGUCUCAGUCUCAGCUGGGCAGCCCUAGCUUCCUGGCCAAGGUGAGGGGGCGGCAGGUGCGUGGGAGUCC
RNAcentral lists this long non-coding RNA (796 nucleotides) under Ursus americanus (American black bear). RNAcentral describes it as "lncRNA (ENSUAMG00000001180.1)". The record is from RNAcentral. Lineage: Eukaryota; Metazoa; Chordata; Mammalia; Carnivora; Ursidae.